AUUGAACGCUGGAGGCAGGCUAAACACAUGCAAGUCGAGCGGAGAGAGGUAGCUUGCUACUGAUCUUAGCGGCGGACGGGUGAGUAAUGCUUAGGAAUCUGCCUAUUAGUGGGGGACAACAUUUCGAAAGGAAUGCUAAUACCGCAUACGUCCUACGGGAGAAAGCAGGGGAUCUUCGGACCUUGCGCUAAUAGAUGAGCCUAAGUCGGAUUAGCUAGUUGGUGGGGUAAAGGCCUACCAAGGCGACGAUCUGUAGCGGGUCGGAGAGGAUGAUCCGCCACACGGCGACUGAGACACGGCCCAGACUCCUACGGGAGGCAGCAGUGGGGAAUAUUGGACAAUGGGCGGAAGCCUGAUCCAGCCAUGCCGCGUGUGUGAAGAAGGCCUUAUGGUUGUAAAGCACUUUAAGCGAGGAGGAGGCUAUUUUAGUUAAUACCUAGAGAUAGUGGACGUUACUCGCAGAAUAAGCACCGGCUAACUCUGUGCCAGCCGCCGCAGUAA
RNAcentral lists this ribosomal RNA (501 nucleotides) under uncultured bacterium. RNAcentral's name for it is "partial 16S ribosomal RNA". It matches the Rfam family "Bacterial small subunit ribosomal RNA", at positions 30 to 523 of the family's 1533-position model. The record is from RNAcentral.